This is a long non-coding RNA of Panthera uncia (snow leopard), 396 nucleotides long. RefSeq lists it as uncharacterized. Lineage: Eukaryota; Metazoa; Chordata; Mammalia; Carnivora; Felidae. The record is from RefSeq and is a predicted model, not a curated record. The transcript has 3 exons.
GAACGAAUACUGAGGCAUCCGGUGGCAAGGAGUGAGGGUCUCCCCUGUAGGAAGCGUACAAAGAAGGAUCUAACAUUUAUGGAGUGGUUGCAAGGUGGGUGUGUAGCCUGUGGGUUGGACCAAUGUGGUCAAGAAAGUCCUGCAAAUGGGCAGUCAGAGGCUAUGGUGCCUCAGGGCCUGUUGGCAGCACCAGAGGCCAAGCUGUUAAAAAUGGAAACUUGAGUUUCUCAAGCCCCUCAUUUCACGGCAUAUUAUUGCUAGCGACCUGCUGGACUCUUCCUCGGUUCACGGAUUGAUUUUCCUUUAUCCCCUAUUUCUGCUCCUGUAAUGCACCCUUCUAUACCUGAAACAAUUCUGGUGGAUCUUUUUGUUUGAAUGUAUUUUUCAAAAAUGAAA